AUGUCGCCGACAACCUGUGGAACGCGCACCUUGGGGGCGGCCGCCGCGGCGUGUUCCGCCCGUUCGGCGACACCGUGGCGAAGGCAUCGACUUCUUCAUCGACCAGGGCGCGCCGGACCACUACGAGGAGCUCGCCAGGCGUCUGUCCGGAUACAACCGGUACUACCGCGGCGCGCCGGGGUGAGGCUGACGGCGACGCCGCGGUGCGUGUACCCGGACUGGUACGUCCAGAGGGCGCUGGACACGGGGCUGUUCGAGCGGAUCCACGUCAGGUUCUACGGCGAAGACCGGUGCUCGUACAGCCACGUGCACAAAGACGGGGUGAUGGCGCAGUGGAGCAAGUGGACGGCGAGGUACCCCCGGAGCAAGGUGUACAUCGGGCUGCCGGCGGCGAACGUGCCCGGGACUGGGAGGAACGACGAGGUCGGCCUCAUGUCGAUGAACUACGACCUGAUGCGGUGA
RNAcentral lists this ribosomal RNA (462 nucleotides) under Triticum aestivum (bread wheat). RNAcentral's name for it is "partial small subunit ribosomal RNA". The record is from RNAcentral. Lineage: Eukaryota; Viridiplantae; Streptophyta; Magnoliopsida; Poales; Poaceae.